GCUGGCGUUCUCCAGUCGACAGGGUUACUUUGAGGAAAUCAGAGUGCUCAAGGCAAGCGCACGCUCGUGACUUCACUAGCAUGGAAUAACACAGAUGGGCUCUUUUUCGCAACGUUGGUCUGCGUCAAUCGAGCAACGAUCGAUAGAGACGGUCGGGGGCAUUCGUAUUGCGCAGUUAGAGGUGAAAUUCUCCGAUCUGCGCAAGACGCACUAAUGCGAAAGCAGUUGCCAAGGACGUCCUCUUAUGAUCAAGAGCGAAAGUCGGGGGAUCAAAGAUGAUUAGAUACCGUCGUAGUCCCGACCAUAAAUGAUGCCGACUGAGCGUCGGCGACUCGGCCUUCGGCCGUACGUCGGCGCUCUUGAGAGAAAUUAAAGUCUUUGGGCUCCGGGGGUAGUAUGGUCGCAAGUCUGAAACUUGAAGGAAUUGACGGAAGGGCACCACAAGGCGUGGAUGUUGCGGCUUAAUUUGACUCAACACGGGGAAGCUUACUAGGUUUGGACACUUGAAUGAGGGACAUAUUGAAGCUCUUACCUUUUUUUGUGGAUGGUGGUGCAUGGUCGUUCUCAGCCCGUGGGUUGACCUGUCAGGUUUACUCCGGUAACGCGCGAGACCUCGGUUUGCUAAAUAGACGCGGCUGUCUCGGCACCCGCGUUCUUCUUAGAGAGAGUCUCGACGAGAGUCGAGGGAAGUCGAGGCAAUAACAGAUCUGUGAUGCCCUUAGUUAUCCUAGGUCGCACGCGCCAAACAAUGUCGCUUACAACGAGUUCCUAGGCCGACAGGCGUUCUCCUUCGAGCGCGGUCGUGGCAGACCCCGAGGGCCAGUCGCUCCGAGAGAGCGGCCGUCCGAGGGCGUCCACGCGCCUCCGCGCCGAUCGAGAUCGACCGGGCAAUCUUGCAGAGAGCUACGUGACUGGGCUAGACUCUUGUAAUUGUUGGUCUUCAACGAAGAAUGCCUAGUAAUCGCAGGUCAUCAUCCUGC
RNAcentral lists this ribosomal RNA (980 nucleotides) under Rhipilia sp. LL1. RNAcentral describes it as "bacterial SSU rRNA". It matches the Rfam family "Eukaryotic small subunit ribosomal RNA", at positions 728 to 1639 of the family's 1831-position model. Lineage: Eukaryota; Viridiplantae; Chlorophyta; Ulvophyceae; Bryopsidales; Halimedaceae. The record is from RNAcentral.